This 721-nucleotide ribosomal RNA is filed under the name Cylindrospermopsis raciborskii S14. Its description in RNAcentral is "bacterial LSU rRNA". It matches the Rfam family "Bacterial large subunit ribosomal RNA", at positions 93 to 836 of the family's 2925-position model. Lineage: Bacteria; Bacillati; Cyanobacteriota; Cyanophyceae; Nostocales; Aphanizomenonaceae. The record is from RNAcentral.
CAAACAGAGAGCCGGAAAUAUCCGAAUGGGGCAACCCUGAAAACUGCCUGUUGAAUAUAUAGACAGGAAAGAGCGAACCUGGCGAAUUGAAACAUCUUAGUAGCCAGAGGAAAAGAAAUCAAAAGAGAUUCCCCGAGUAGCGGUGAGCGAAAGGGGAAGAGCCUAAACCAAGGGGUAUACCUCUUGGGGUAGUGGGACAGCAACAUCGAAUCCAGAGACUAGACGAAGCAGCUAAAUACUGCACCAGAGGGGGUGAAAGUCCUGUAGUCGAAAGUCAAAGGAUAGAAGCUGAAUCCCGAGUAGUACGGGGCACGAGAAAUCCCGUAUGAAUCAGCGAGGACCAUCUCGUAAGGCUAAAUACUACUGUGUGACCGAUAGAGAACAAGUACCGCGAGGGAAAGGUGAAAAGAACCCCGGGAGGGGAGUGAAAAAGAACAUGAAACCGUGAGCUUACAAGCAGUGGGAGUCCGAUUAAACGGAUGACCGCGUGCCUGUUGAAGAAUGAGCCGGCGACUUAUAGGUACUGGUAGGUUAAAGCGGGAAUGCUGGAGCCAAAGGGAAACCGAGUCUGAAAAGGGCGCUAAUCAGUAUUUAUAGACCCGAACCCUGGUGAUCUAACCAUGGCCAGGAUGAAGCUUGGGUAAAACCAAGUGGAGGUCCGAACCGACCGAUGUUGAAAAAUCGGCGGAUGAGCGGUGGUUAGGGGUGAAAUGCCAAUCGA